GUCAUCCGAUAAAAGUCCCAUACCACGCGCAAAUGGGAUCCUAUAGUUCAAUUCAUCUGGAUUAAUUGUCAAAGGAUUUCCAAGUAUGUAACCCUUAAGAUUAAUCAUUGGCUUGGUCUUCGCAUCGUUCCCAUUUGAUAUAGUUUGAACAACAAUUGGAACAGUUGUCCCAGAGUACGAGUCACCCCCAAUAUAUAUUGGAUUUUGA
This 208-nucleotide unclassified non-coding RNA is filed under the name Hevea brasiliensis (rubber tree). Lineage: Eukaryota; Viridiplantae; Streptophyta; Magnoliopsida; Malpighiales; Euphorbiaceae. The record is from RNAcentral.